This 502-nucleotide ribosomal RNA is filed under the name uncultured bacterium. RNAcentral describes it as "partial 16S ribosomal RNA". It matches the Rfam family "Bacterial small subunit ribosomal RNA", at positions 30 to 523 of the family's 1533-position model. The record is from RNAcentral.
AUUGAACGCUGGCGGCACGCCUAACACAUGCAAGUCGAGCGGUAGCAUGAUCUGUAGCAAUACAGAUUGAUGACGAGCGGCGGACGGGUGAGGAACACGUAGGAACUUGCCCAAUAGAGGGGGAUAACUAAGGGAAACUUUAGCUAAUACCGCAUAUUCUCGAGAGAGGAAAGCUGCCCGCAAGGGUGGCGCCAUUGGAGAGGCCUGCGUCCGAUUAGCUAGUUGGUGAGGUAAAGGCUCACCAAGGCGAUGAUCGGUAACUGGUCUUAGAGGACGACCAGUCACUGGGACUGAGACACGGCCCAGACUCCUACGGGAGGCAGCAGUGGGGAAUCUUGGACAAUGGGGGCAACCCUGAUCCAGCGAUGCCGCGUGAGUGAAGAAGGCCUUCGGGUCGUAAAGCUCUUUAGGUUGGGAGGAAGGUUAGUAUUUUAAGAGAUAACUAAUUUGACUGUACCGACAGAAUAAGCACCGGCAAACUCUGUGCCAGCCGCCGCCGUAA